UACGGAGGGUGCAAGCGUUGCUCGGAAUUAUUGGGCGUAAAGGGUAGGUAGGUGGUCUCAUUUGUCUGGGGUGAAAUCCUUGGGCUUAACCCAAGAAGUGCCCCGGAAACGGUGAGACUAGAGUCCUGGAGAGGGUCGUGGAAUUCCCGGUGUAGCGGUGAAAUGCGUAGAGAUCGGGAGGAACACCAGAGGCGAAGGCGGCGACCUGGACAGGUACUGACACUCAACUACGAAAGCGUGGGGAGCAAACAGG
RNAcentral lists this ribosomal RNA (253 nucleotides) under uncultured bacterium. Its description in RNAcentral is "partial 16S ribosomal RNA". It matches the Rfam family "Bacterial small subunit ribosomal RNA", at positions 524 to 776 of the family's 1533-position model. The record is from RNAcentral.